GUCAUUAAUUCAGGAAAAAAGUUUUGCCGGUGGGUUUGCCAUAAUCCACUAUGUACGGUUCAAUUUUGAUGGUAAAUUUAAUAAACCAAUCAAAACCAAUGUGCUUACACAGAAAAGUUCUAUUUCUGCCGAGCAAGAACACAUAAGAAUUAUUCUUUUUACGAUAUAUGUUGUUUCUACUUCUUAUUGCGUUUCAACCAAUUAAUAUUUCUUAAUUAAUAGUGUAACUGACCAAAAAAUAUCACAAUACUAAAAGGGAGAUAAUCUCAACAGAUAGAUGGUCCACGUAGAUUAGAAAAAUUAUCCAAUAAGGACCUUUCUUUUUGACGUGUCAUAUAUGGCUGAAAUAUAGUGCAUUUUUGUAUGGGUUUUAUGAAAAUUAUCACUCUGACCCAUCCCAGCCCAUGUAGAGAACAGACGGAGAAACCUUUUAUCGUUUCACGCUUUCUCCUCCGACUCUUCCACUUCAUCUUCUCCGAUGUAUAGAUUUGUUUGCUUUGCCAAACUUUAUCAGUUCUAUCCACUUCCCCUUGAUCCUUCUCCUAUAUAAAUCUCUAUGUACAAACCUAAAUCCACCCAAAAUCAAAACCUACUCUGAAGAAGUUACAUCCAUUGACACUUUAGUCUAAACCUAUCUGCACGAUCUCUACUUCUACUCUGCGACCGUCAAAUUGAAAAUGCAAUUCCUCCGGUAAAAGCUCAGUCACGGUCGUAGUUCCGUCACCGCUGAAUCAUCAUCAUCCAGGUUCUUACCUUGUGACGUCUCUCACCUUUGUCGAUCCAUCGAGAAUCUACUGUAAAAAAAAUCAGUUCCCGUUGAUGGAGAGAUCGUGAAGAAGGUUGGUCAAUCUGUUUCCUGUAAUCAAAAAAGUGAUUGGUCUUCUGAAGAACUAUGCUUUUGUGUGCGAGCACAACGAGUGUUUGGGAAUAGAUGGACUGAGAUACAAAGGUGGAUUCAGGCAGAAAGGAUAAGGCUGUGAACAGGUUUACGAGACUUCGUGUGAAGAGAGCCAAGCAUGAAACUAUGGCUAGCGAGAACAACUCAAACAAUAAAAUAAUGUUCUUCUUAGAUGGUAGUUGUACUCCAGCGAAUAUGAAACUCUUAUUGCCAAUAGAACAAGGAUCUAGCUCCAUGUAAGUUCUUCUCUUCCAGGAUAGCUGCCUUACAUUACACGUUAUGUCUCCACAGUGAGUUAUUUAUGAGCAUCACAAGGUGGAAACUUUCCUCACUCCCUCAUGAGUGACUGGAGGACAAUCUAAAACUAUUAGACUAGACAAGCGAAAGUUAACAAUCCUCUUUGACAACCCCAACAUCUGAAAAUGGAAGGAAAAAGCCUUUUGCUAGAUCCUUUUUAUGCAGAAGGAAUCGUCCGUCAGAAAAUGGAUCGAAACGGUGGCUAUUGAUGCAGCCAAAGACAUGGUACUGUCAAAGGAACAAUGGAUGUUAAAGAACUUGUGCUUUUACUGGCCAAAAACUCAAUGAACCAUCAAUCUCUUCUUCUGGUCAAAGACUGUGCCACCCCUCCCGCCUUAAAGAAAGAAGUCUUGGCUGCAGGAGAAAGAGACAAAGAAGGAAGGGAAGUUGGAGAGAAGAAAACAGAGGGUGGCUAGAAGAAGAAAGAAGUUGUUGACGGCAGAGAAGAGAGAAAACGAAAGAUGUUGGAGCUGGCAGGAAGAAGAAGAAAGAAGCCAGGCGUGGUGAGAAGAAGUGGGGUCAAAUCAUUGUCACACGUAAGAUUAUAAGUUCAUACAAGUAUAUGCAUUGUCUUAAAUUUUUCUGACGGACAUCUCUAUAACUAUAAUUUUCAACUACUACCAAAAUAAAACUUGGAAGGAACGAGAAAUAUUGUAUACACUCUAAUCUAAUAAAGUUAUAACUAUUAUUCUUAA
This is a long non-coding RNA of Brassica napus (rape), 1890 nucleotides long. RefSeq lists it as uncharacterized. Lineage: Eukaryota; Viridiplantae; Streptophyta; Magnoliopsida; Brassicales; Brassicaceae. The transcript has 6 exons. The record is from RefSeq and is a predicted model, not a curated record.